This is a long non-coding RNA of Apis florea (little honeybee), 277 nucleotides long. Lineage: Eukaryota; Metazoa; Arthropoda; Insecta; Hymenoptera; Apidae. The record is from RefSeq and is a predicted model, not a curated record.
UCAUCGUCAUUCGUUCCCUUCCGCUCUUUCGUCGGUCUUGUUUUAUUAUCGAGCGUGUGGAUCUCGCUCGUGGAAUUAACGCUGCGCCCGAUUUACGCGGGCCUCCAUUUCCCCCCUCCCUCCCUCCCUCCCCCCUCCCCUCCCUGCGAUUGAUGCGCCUCGCCGCCUCGUGACGAGCCACGAAUAAAUAUUGUAAAUCUCGUCGAUGCGACUUGCGAACAACGCCGUUUGAUUAAUCAUCGAACUGUAAUUAAUCGCCCAGAGGCUCGAAAAGGUG